This 570-nucleotide small RNA is filed under the name Pan troglodytes (chimpanzee). RNAcentral's name for it is "retained intron". Lineage: Eukaryota; Metazoa; Chordata; Mammalia; Primates; Hominidae. The record is from RNAcentral.
UUUGUAUAUCACACUCUGAAUAUAAUUCUUGUCACUGUGGAUUUGGGCUCCCUUUCUAUGUCCAAUUCCUCUUCCCUUAUUUAGGCUCAGGGGAGAGAGAAAGCCCAGAAAGAAAGCUACUCCAGGGUCCUAUGGAUAUUUCAGAGAAGUUAUUUUGUUCAACUUGUGACCAGACCUUCCAGAACCACCAAGAACAGAGGGAACAUUAUAAGCUUGACUGGCAUCGGUUUAACCUAAAGCAACGUCUCAAGGACAAGCCUCUCCUGUCUGCCCUGGACUUUGAAAAGCAGAGUUCCACAGGAGAUCUUUCCAGCAUCUCGGGAUCAGAAGACUCAGACUCAGCCAGUGAGGAGGACUUGCAGACACUGGAUCGGGAGAGGGCUACAUUUGAGAAGUUGAGCCGACCCCCAGGCUUUUACCCUCAUCGAGUUCUUUUCCAGAAUGCCCAGGGCCAGUUUCUUUAUGCCUACCGCUGUGUCCUAGGCCCUCAUCAGGCAAGUGACAGUACAGGUUGCAUGGCUAACCCCAGCCUUUUGUACACCCAGCCUAGAUUUCCCUUAGCCUAGUGCA